This 399-nucleotide ribosomal RNA is filed under the name Triticum aestivum (bread wheat). Its description in RNAcentral is "partial small subunit ribosomal RNA". Lineage: Eukaryota; Viridiplantae; Streptophyta; Magnoliopsida; Poales; Poaceae. The record is from RNAcentral.
AUGCGUUCCCCAACUGGGGAGGCUAUAUUUGGAGGGGAAACUAUGCGUUUUUUGGACCUUCGUGCUCCAUGGUUAGACCCUCUAAGGGGCCCCAAUGGUUUGGACUUUAGUAGGUUGAAAAAAUACAUACAACCUUGGCAAGAACGACACUCAGCAGAAUAUAAGACCCACACUCCUUUAGGCUCUUUAAAUUCUGUGGGUGGCGGAGCUACCGAAAUCAAUUCAGUUAAUUAUGUCUCUCCCAAAAGUUGGUUAUCAACUUCUCAUUUUGUUCUAGGAUUCUUCUUUUUUGUGGGCCAUUUAUGGCAUGCAGGAAGAGCCCGAGCUGCUGCAGCAGGUUUUGAAAAGGGAAUCGAUCGUGAUUUGGAACAUGUUCUUCACAUGAACCCUCUUAACUAA